RNAcentral lists this ribosomal RNA (253 nucleotides) under uncultured bacterium. RNAcentral's name for it is "partial 16S ribosomal RNA". It matches the Rfam family "Bacterial small subunit ribosomal RNA", at positions 524 to 776 of the family's 1533-position model. The record is from RNAcentral.
UACAGAGGUGGCAAGCGUUGUUCGGAAUUACUGGGCGUAAAGGGCGCGUAGGCGGCCUUCUAAGUCAGACGUGAAAUCCCCCGGCUUAACCUGGGAACUGCGUCUGAUACUGGGAGGCUUGAGUAUGGGAGAGGGAUGUAGAAUUCCAGGUGUAGCGGUGAAAUGCGUAAAUAUCUGGAGGAAUACCGGUGGCGAAGGCGGCAUCCUGGACCAUAACUGACGCUGAGGCGCGAAAGCUAGGGGAGCAAACGGG